Non-coding RNA from Patellaria atrata CBS 101060, 113 nucleotides. The record is from the annotation of a GenBank genome assembly. NCBI's taxonomy places the organism in Eukaryota, Fungi, Ascomycota, Dothideomycetes, Patellariales, Patellariaceae.
GGUCUUGUGGUCUAGCGGUAUGAUUCUCGCUUAGGGAUACCUAAGUUAUAAAUUUCACACUCUUCAAAAGGUGAAUUUGCGAGAGGCCCCGCGUUCGAGUCGCGGCAAGACCC